UAUUUUAGCGCCAGAACCAGUUUGGUUGACGAGGUUGGUAACUAUCGAAUCUUCGGCGGAUGUUACCACGGCUACUAGUCGUAAGGUAUAUGACAAAAAAGUAAAAUAAAGAUUACAACAAAACAUAUAUCAA
RNAcentral lists this non-coding RNA (133 nucleotides) under chicken gut metagenome. Its description in RNAcentral is "glmS glucosamine-6-phosphate activated ribozyme". It matches the Rfam family "glmS glucosamine-6-phosphate activated ribozyme aptamer". From Rfam's summary of the family: This entry contains a glucosamine-6-phosphate activated ribozyme that is found in the mRNA for GlmS. The record is from RNAcentral.